RNAcentral lists this ribosomal RNA (1705 nucleotides) under Salmonella enterica subsp. enterica serovar Typhimurium. RNAcentral's name for it is "partial 23S ribosomal RNA". It matches the Rfam family "Bacterial large subunit ribosomal RNA", at positions 711 to 2312 of the family's 2925-position model. The record is from RNAcentral. Lineage: Bacteria; Pseudomonadati; Pseudomonadota; Gammaproteobacteria; Enterobacterales; Enterobacteriaceae.
AGACCCGAAACCCGGUGAUCUAGCCAUGGGCAGGUUGAAGGUUGGGUAACACUAACUGGAGGACCGAACCGACUAAUGUUGAAAAAUUAGCGGAUGACCUGUGGCUGGGGGUGAAAGGCCAAUCAAACCGGGAGAUAGCUGGUUCUCCCCGAAAGCUAUUUAGGUAGCGCCUCGUGAAUUCAUCUCCGGGGGUAGAGCACUGUUUCGGCUAGGGGGCCAUCCCGGCUUACCAACCCGAUGCAAACUGCGAAUACCGGAGAAUGUUAUCACGGGAGACACACGGCGGGUGCUAACGUCCGUCGUGAAGAGGGAAACAACCCAGACCGCCAGCUAAGGUCCCAAAGUCAUGGUUAAGUGGGAAACGAUGUGGGAAGGCCCAGACAGCCAGGAUGUUGGCUUAGAAGCAGCCAUCAUUUAAAGAAAGCGUAAUAGCUCACUGGUCGAGUCGGCCUGCGCGGAAGAUGUAACGGGGCUAAACCAUGCACCGAAGCUGCGGCAGCGAACGUAUCACCCAAGACAACUUUACGGAGUUGACGAUUGACGGAGCGAAGCGACGUCAAAGCGUUCAUUAAAGUCGAGUUGGCUUAGGGAUACGUUCGUUGGGUAGGGGAGCGUUCUGUAAGCCUGUGAAGGUGUGUCGUGAGGCAUGCUGGAGGUAUCAGAAGUGCGAAUGCUGACAUAAGUAACGAUAAAGCGGGUGAAAAGCCCGCUCGCCGGAAGACCAAGGGUUCCUGUCCAACGUUAAUCGGGGCAGGGUGAGUCGACCCCUAAGGCGAGGCCGAAAGGCGUAGUCGAUGGGAAACGGGUUAAUAUUCCCGUACUUGGUGUUACUGCGAAGGGGGGACGGAGAAGGCUAUGUUGGCCGGGCGACGGUUGUCCCGGUUUAAGCGUGUAGGUGUGUGUUCCAGGUAAAUCCGGUUCACUUUAACACUGAGGCGUGAUGACGAGGCACUACGGUGCUGAAGCAACAAAUGCCCUGCUUCCAGGAAAAGCCUCUAAGCAUCAGGUAACAUCAAAUCGUACCCCAAACCGACACAGGUGGUCAGGUAGAGAAUACCAAGGCGCUUGAGAGAACUCGGGUGAAGGAACUAGGCAAAAUGGUGCCGUAACUUCGGGAGAAGGCACGCUGACACGUAGGUGAAGUGAUUUACUCACGGAGCUGAAGUCAGUCGAAGAUACCAGCUGGCUGCAACUGUUUAUUAAAAACACAGCACUGUGCAAACACGAAAGUGGACGUAUACGGUGUGACGCCUGCCCGGUGCCGGAAGGUUAAUUGAUGGGGUCAGCGCAAGCGAAGCUCCUGAUCGAAGCCCCGGUAAACGGCGGCCGUAACUAUAACGGUCCUAAGGUAGCGAAAUUCCUUGUCGGGUAAGUUCCGACCUGCACGAAUGGCGUAAUGAUGGCCAGGCUGUCUCCACCCGAGACUCAGUGAAAUUGAACUCGCUGUGAAGAUGCAGUGUACCCGCGGCAAGACGGAAAGACCCCGUGAACCUUUACUAUAGCUUGACACUGAACAUUGAGCCUUGAUGUGUAGGAUAGGUGGGAGGCUUUGAAGUGUGGACGCCAGUCUGCAUGGAGCCGACCUUGAAAUACCACCCUUUAAUGUUUGAUGUUCUAACGUGGACCCGUAAUCCGGGUUGCGGACAGUGUCUGGUGGGUAGUUUGACUGGGGCGGUCUCCUCCUAAAGAGUAACGGAGGAGCACG